This is a non-coding RNA of Saccharata proteae CBS 121410, 87 nucleotides long. The record is from the annotation of a GenBank genome assembly. Lineage: Eukaryota; Fungi; Ascomycota; Dothideomycetes; Botryosphaeriales; Saccharataceae.
GGCCGGUUGGCGCAAUGGUAGCGCGUGCCCCUCCUAUGACAGGUGCAUAGGGCAAGGUUGCGGGUUCGGUAAGUCCUUCACGAGUUC